Molecule: long non-coding RNA, 541 nt
Organism: Gossypium arboreum
Lineage: Eukaryota; Viridiplantae; Streptophyta; Magnoliopsida; Malvales; Malvaceae
Exons: 2
Source: RefSeq, a predicted model, not a curated record
UUAUUAUUUAAAUAAUUUUUUAUUUUAAAAUACAUUUUAACCUUUUGUCUUCUUUUUGAAAAAAAACUUUGAAAGCUUACAACUUUCUCAGCUUCACCAUUUUUCCCCUCAGCCGAAAGGCUGAUAUUCUGGCCUACAACCGCCCCCCAAGAUCUGACCGCGACGAAUGGGACAAAGCCCACCGACGGUGCGAACGUGAUAUAAUUCCGGUUCAUGGGCGUGUACGUCUCUGACGUGGUGGGGUGGAGUGGCGCACGGUGCGGAGAUUCGCGCGUCGUACGGAACCUGGGGACUGCUUCGGUUGCAAACAGCAACUGCUUGCUGAAAUUUGUUCAUGCCUUGGCCUUGUAGUUUGGGUUUGUUUUUUUUUAUUUAAUUUUGUAUAUGUGUGGGCCUGGGCAUAAAUUGGGCUCAACACUCAUUUUAUAAAUUAAUAUUUUUAAUGGGCAUUUGGUUCCAAACAUGUAAGAUUAUCUUUAAUAAUAUGAUUAUUGAUAUGUAAGAUUAUUUAGCAUGUAAUCAAAUAUGUUAUAUUAUCCAA